Molecule: unclassified non-coding RNA, 300 nt
Filed under: uncultured Mycena
Lineage: Eukaryota; Fungi; Basidiomycota; Agaricomycetes; Agaricales; Tricholomataceae
Description: sequence contains 5.8S rRNA gene, ITS2
Rfam family: 5.8S ribosomal RNA (bases 1-71)
Source: RNAcentral
GUAAGUCAUCGAAUCUUUGAACGCACCUUGCGCCCUUUGGUAUUCCGAAGGGCAUGCCUGUUUGAGUGUCAUUAAAUUAUCAACCUUGCUCGCUUUUACCGGCUUGAGUUAGGCUUGGAUGUGAGGGUCUUUGCUGGCUUCCUUCAGUGGAUGGUCUGCUCCCUUUAAAUGCAUUAGUGGGAUCUCUUGUGGACCGUCACUUGGUGUGAUAAUUAUCUAUGCCAUCUUGACUUUGAAGCAAACUAAUGGGAACCUGCUUAUAACCGUCCUUUCAGGACAACUCUUGACAUUUUGACCUCA